GGCCAGGUAGCUCAGUCGGUAGAGCAGUGGACUGAAAAUCCGCGUGUCGGUGGUUCGAUUCCGCCCCUGGCCACCA
Molecule: transfer RNA, 76 nt
Filed under: Gammaproteobacteria bacterium
Lineage: Bacteria; Pseudomonadati; Pseudomonadota; Gammaproteobacteria
Also listed under: 6 other names
Description: tRNA-Phe
Rfam family: tRNA
About the family: Transfer RNA (tRNA) molecules are approximately 80 nucleotides in length. Their secondary structure includes four short double-helical elements and three loops (D, anti-codon, and T loops).
Source: RNAcentral